UGAUCGGGAACUGCUAACCAUCUUAUUGUACACCUUAUGACUGUGUUAGUGAUGAUAAGUCUUUAGUUUGAAGUUUAGUGUAUUGUGGCAUGUUAUUUGUCUUUUCUUUUUUCUGCCUUGGACCAUCGAAUUUGUCGUCUUUCUUCGAUGGAUGUGCCCUUUUAUAUCUUCCUAAUAUUUUUACAUUAUUCAUUACUUCAAUUGAGGCAUGAAAUGUAGAGAAAAAAAAUAAAUAUUUUUAUGAAUUUAACAUUUUAUCAGUAAUGUGGACUCGUGUAAUCAUUUUGUUUCAAGAUGUGACAAAUACAGGAGAUAGAACAGUGUCGAAAGUGCGUUCAGGUUUGAGCAAAUAUUUCUUUUGAUUCACUAUUAAAAUAGUUGAAUAAGAGAUGCAAUGUUCUACGUCUGAUGUUGCAUGGUAGAUACAUUGGGAAAUAAUUUACAAUAUAAAAAAAUCUACAAACUUCCAAAUCCCUUUUAGUAUAGACAUUAAAAGAAAGUCUUACCGAGAAAACAUAAAGAUAAUAAGAGUGUCUGUUAGACUGUUAUUAUGAAUGCAAAAGUGGUAGGAAUCUAACAUAAUCAUCCCGUUGAAGUCCCGUUGAAGAUGCCAGCACUUAUCAAUAAAUAUAUUGCAACUGUACAGCGUCGUAUACGUCAUCUAAAAAAAGCCUGACGUUACAGAAGGCACUAUGCCAUAAAUUCGAUUAGUCUCGCCAACAGUUUGAUCGAAAACUUGUUUUAAAAAUAUCACAAGUGUUAUCAAUCAAAUAUUGGAACAGCAAUACAGAAAAAUAGAAGUAAACGUCAAGAAGAGAAUGGAAGUGAAAAUGAAAAACAUUCGAAUAUUCGACAAAGGCAUAUAUUAGCAAGGAACACCGACAUUUUUUAAUCAGGUUUAAAGCAGACACAUCGGAUCGAAGCCUUUAAAAACAGAUGUAUAUAAUUAGACACGUUGUCAUAGACAUUUUGACACCAGAGAAAACAGUACAUAUAAACUUGCAAAUUCCCAAAAAAAAGAGAGUAUAUCAAAGUGCAAAAAAUACAGAAAUUGUUAAUUUCAUUCUGGAUUUAUCUUACGGAAUUUUCAGAAACAUACACCAAACACGUAUUAGUAGAUAGAGCUUUAAGACAAAAAUGUGUUCGAGUUCUUUGGGUCUUCAAAAAAGAGAUUUAUAUGGUGUUUUUUUCUUAUAAUUGGCACAGAAAAAAAGCAAAGAUUGCUUACAAUAAAGCAACCAAAAACUUUAAGUUAUUAGUUUUUAAAGAUGUAUAUAACUCAGACGGACUUUAGAUACUUUUUAUAAGUCGCACUCCGCCUUUUUUCACAGGCACUGUGUAGUUCGAAUAUAUAAACUCUGCAUUGCAAAAAAACAACAAUGUUGGAUUCUUUAUAUGAUGCCUUACAAAGAUAAAAAAUACAAAUAGAUAUUUUACUCAAACAGACAAAUUGUUGUGGCUUUAAGUCGAUCAGUUUUCAGUGUUUCAAAUUCUAAAUGCCGAGUGCAUGCUUUGUGGAGAAGCAGUAAACACAUAUUUUAACUUAAGCUUGACCCAACAUAUAUAGGAUCUACCCAUAUACUUUCUGUUUAAACUAUUGAAACACACUACUACGGGAUCAUUGCAGGGUGGUUGACAGACUUUGAGGUUAUGUACACACUUGCGGUUUCUGUAAAACGUGUACAGAUACAAAACUUUUAAAGAGUAUCUUAUAUGAGAUAACGAAAAGAGUCGUUAUAUUACGCGGUUUUUAGGUUAAGUGUAAGUACUUGGUAGAUUCUAACUGUUUGUAUGAAGAGUGAUUUACUUAACGAAGAUUAUACAAAGAAAACAAUAGGGGUUGAGAACAAUAUUUGUAAAGGAUUAGUCUGCGGGGAGACAAUGUAAAGAUACCUUGGCGUAUAAUCAGUAUAUUUAGUCUGCAGGGAGAAGGGACAGUGUAAAGAUACCUUGGCGUAUAAUCAGUAUCUUUAGUCUGCAGGGAGAAGGGAGAAGGGACAAUGUAAAGAUACCUUGGCGUAUAAUCAGUAUAUUUAGGUUCUCUAAGGGUAGUGAAAGGAAGUGAACAUAUCUUCUGUAAAAAUUUACAAAUUAACUUGCUGAUUUGAAUAGACCUAGACCAGUAUAAUGAAGACCAUCUUUCUCACAUGAUAGGUCGAAGUUGAAUCAAUGGAGUUUUCGGUUGAUAAAGCAACAACAGAACAAAAACCAAAAGUUUUAAAACGGUUAUAUAUGGGGUGGAAAGUUUGGUAUUCAUUUUGUACUCAUUUGUAUUUUUGGACAACAAUUUCUACAUUCUUUUAACAUUCUUUAUUCUUUACGCCCAAUUACUUAUUUCAAUAAUUUAGCACCCAAUUAUUCUUUAAUCUAUAUGCCGCCUUUGUUCUCAUUUUUUUUUUUUUUUUUUUUAAUUUUUCUAAAUUAAUAUCUACUAUAUAAACGCCAUUAUACACUCUUAUGUGUGGUGAACAAGAGCAGUGUGCAGAGUCAUGAACAAUGAUUAACAGGGAAAAAUUAUGAACGCUUUUUGUGUAGCUUUAUUUGAAAAAAAAUGUUCUUUUAUUUCUAUCAAUAAAAUAUAGAUUUUUUGCAAAAAUGUUUACUUUUGUCAAAGAUAACUGUCCAUGACCGAAACGGCAAGAAUAACAAUUCACUGUGAUAUAUUUUGUGUAGAAAUAUAUUACAUGUACAUCUAUAAUUUAUAUAUUUCAUGUUAUAAAAAUUCAUCAAUCUAAU
Molecule: long non-coding RNA, 2736 nt
Filed under: Mytilus galloprovincialis (Mediterranean mussel)
Lineage: Eukaryota; Metazoa; Mollusca; Bivalvia; Mytilida; Mytilidae
Source: RNAcentral